RNAcentral lists this ribosomal RNA (274 nucleotides) under uncultured bacterium. Its description in RNAcentral is "partial 16S ribosomal RNA". It matches the Rfam family "Archaeal small subunit ribosomal RNA", at positions 473 to 747 of the family's 1478-position model. The record is from RNAcentral.
AAACCAGCACCUCAAGUGGUCAGGAUGAUUAUUGGGCCUAAAGCAUCCGUAGCCUGGUGCAUAAGUUUUCGGUUAAAUCCAUAUGCUCAACAUAUGGGCUGCCGGGAAUACUGUGCACCUAGGGAGUGGGAGAGGUAGACGGUACUCGGUAGGAAGGGGUAAAAUCCUUUGAUCUAUUGAUGACCACCUGUGGCGAAGGCGGUCUACCAGAACACGUUCGACGGUGAGGGAUGAAAGCUGGGGGAGCAAACCGGAUUAGAAACCCUGGUAGUCC